AGAGUUUGAUUAUGGCUCAGGAUGAACGCUGGCGGCGUGCUUAACACAUGCAAGUCGAACGAAGCAGCUUCUGCUUGCAAGAAAGCUGACUUAGUGGCGGACGGGUGAGUAACGCGUGGGUAACCUGCCUCAUACAGGGGGAUAACAGUUGGAAACGACUGCUAAGACCGCAUAACCCGCUAGUGUCGCAUGACACGGACGGAAAAUAUUUAUAGGUAUGAGAUGGGCCCGCGUCUGAUUAGCUAGUUGGUAAGGUAACGGCUUACCAAGGCGACGAUCGGUAGCCGACUUGAGAGAGUGAUCGGCCACAUUGGGACUGAGACACGGCCCAAACUCCUACGGGAGGCAGCAGUGGGGAAUAUUGGACAAUGGGGGAAACCCUGAUCCAAGCGACGCCGCGUGAGUGAAGAAGUAUUUCGGUAUGUAAAGCUCUAUCAGCAGGGAAGAUAAUGACAGUACCUGACUAAGAAGCCCCGGCUAACUACGUGCCAGCAGCCGC
This 499-nucleotide ribosomal RNA is filed under the name uncultured bacterium. RNAcentral's name for it is "bacterial SSU rRNA". It matches the Rfam family "Bacterial small subunit ribosomal RNA", at positions 8 to 518 of the family's 1533-position model. The record is from RNAcentral.